UUUUUUUUUGUAUUUUUAAAUGAUAAAGGAAUAUUUAAUGGAACAAAUAAAAAAAUAAAAACAAACAAAAUAAAAAGAAGAGCACAAUUUAAUUGUUUGUGACCUACGAAUAACUAUAUGCGUCCGACUAGUGUGCAAAUGGGUAUCAAUAUUAUUUUGGAAGGGGAAAAAGUAAUUUGCAUGCGAAUGACAUGUAAUUGUAUGUGAUAUGUAAUUGUGUUCGAUCAAGGACAUGCAAUUGCAUGUGGCUGACAUGUGUGCAACUAGGUAGACGAAGAAAGCAACUCAUGUGGCCGACGUGUGUGCCACCUAAUGGCAAAUAUUGAAAAAAGAAAAAACAAUUAAGUUUGAUGGUAAAUAUUUAAAAUACGGAUUUGAAUCUUCCCUCAUCCCUCACAAAACAACAAAGAGUUGCACUCUCUUUGAAGACAUGCAAUUAUAGUCUAGCGACACUUGCACUUGCGUGCAUAGUAGCAACUGCAAUUGCCUUCCUUCACCCGGACAAAACGGUACUAAGUUGGAGUUGCAAUCAGGAGACGCAUAUGCAAUUGCGUAACUAUUGGAAGACAUGCACUUACAGUCGGGACGAAGCUUGCAGUUGUGUGCCUACUAGCAUACUCCCUUCACAACAACAUUAAAAAUGUGUCCGAGGAUCUGGACAAGUAACUCUUCUCUCCUUUAAUAUGAUCCUUUUUAUGAGAAAAUGAGCGCUGUUGUCAGAAUCAGACACAAAAAAAAAUAUUUUUUUCUUUCUUCAUCCUUGGAAAAACAAAAAAAUGCAAAAGAAGAAAAGGAAAAAAAUUGUAUGAUUUCAAAAAAUAAGAAAAAAAACACAAACUGGUUGUGAGACCGGGUGCUUGAUUUGUGUUUGCAGGCAUGGCAGAAAAUGUGGGUGUNNNNNNNNNNNNNNNNNNNNNNNNNNNNNNNNNNNNNNNNNNNNNNNNNNNNNNNNNNNNNNNNNNNNNNNNNNNNNNNNNNNNNNNNNNNNNNNNNNNNNNNNNNNNNNNNNNNNNNNNNNNNNNNNNNNNNNNNNNNNNNNNNNNNNNNNNNNNNNNNNNNNNNNNNNNNNNNNNNNNNNNNNNNNNNNNNNNNNNNNNNNNNNNNNNNNNNNNNNNNNNNNNNNNNNNNNNNNNNNNNNNNNNNNNNNNNNNNNNNNNNNNNNNNNNNNNNNACCAAGCAAAAAAGUCUAGUUGCGAAAAAUGUUUGUAAAAAGACAUGUAGUUAUACUCCAAGGGAAAGCGAUUGCAAUUGCAUGACUAGUUGUCCUCCUCUCUCUUGCCGCCGCCCCUUCGACAAAACAAAGGCGCCUAGUUGCAACUAAGUUAGAAGACACUAAGUUACGACCAUGCUAGAAGACAUGCGGUUGCAUGAGUAUAGUUGGACAUGCAGCUGGACACCUCUCUCUCGUUGCCGCCCCCUCCGACGAAAUAAGGGCCCCCCUAAGUUGCGACCAAGUUACAAGGCAUGCAGUUGCAUGCCCAUUAUGGGACAUGCAACUGGCCCCAUCUCUCUCGACGGCGUCCCCUCCGACCAAACAAGAGUCCAUCCCAGUUGCGACCAUGGUCUAAGACAUGUAGUUGCGUGCCUAGUGUGGGACAUGCAACUGGUGCCUCUCCCCGUACAGCAAAAAAUGGAAGUUGAGUUGCAACCAAGUUAUAAGACAUGCAGUUGCAACCAAGUUAUAAGACAUGCAGUUGCAACCAAGUUAUAAGACAUGCAGUUGUGUGCCUAGUGUGGGGCAUGCAACUGGGCCCCAUCUCUCUCGAUGUUGUCCCCUCUGACAAAACAAAGGUCACCCAGUUGCGACCAAUUUAGAAGACAUGGAGUUGUGUGCCCAUUGUGGGACAUGCAAACUGGCGCCUCUCCCCGCACAACAAAAAUGGAAGUCGAGUUGCAACCAGAUUAUAGGACAUGCGGUUGCGUGCCUAGUGUGGGACAUGUAACUGGUGCCUCUCCCCGUACAACAAAAAAUGAAAGUUGAGUUGCAACCAAGUUAUAAGACAUGUAGUUGUGAGUUGUGACGAUGCUCAAAGACAUGCAGUUGCGUGCCCGUUGUGGGACAUACACCUGGCGCCUCUCCCCGUACAACAAAAAUGGAAGUCGAGUUGCAACCAAGUUAUAAGAUAUGCAGUUGCGACCAAGUUAGAAGACAUGCAGUUGCAUGGCUGGUGUGGGGCAUGCAACUGGGCCCCAUCUCUCUCGACGCUGCCCCCUCCGAAAAAACAAGGAUCCGACAAAACAAAUGUCCUCCCAGUUGCGAUCAAGUUAGAAGAGAUGGAGUUGCAUGCCCAUUGUGGGACAUGCAACUGGCGCCUCUCUCCACACAACAAAAAUGGAAGUCGUGUUGCAACCACGCUAUAAGACAUGCAGUUGCGACCAAGUCAGAAGAUAUGCAGUUGCACACCUAGUGUGGGACAUGCAAUUGGGCCCCAUCUCUCUCUACGUCGUCCCCUCCGACAAAACAAAGACCCCCUAGUUGAUACCAAGUUAGAAGACAUGGAGUUGCGUUCCCAUUGUGGCAUAUGCAACUGGCGCCUCUCCCCGCACAACAAAAAUGGAAGUCAAAUUGCAAACAAGUUAUAAGACAUGCAGUUGCACGCCUAGGACAUGCAACUGGGUCCCAUCUCUCUCGACGUAGCCCCCUUCGACAAAACAAAGGUCCCCUAGUUGAUACCAAGUUAUAAGACAUGCAGUUGCGUGCACAUUGUGGGACAUGCAACUAGCGCCUCUCCCCGCACAACAAAAAUGGAAGUCGAGUUGCAACCAAGUAAAGCAAACAAAAGGGCUAUACAAAUCCUAGUUAUGGCCCAAUAAUACAUUUGAGGGGAUUUGAGUUCAAAGAUAAGCUUCAAAAACAUGGAUCUGAUUUCACGAAAGUAAUAUUUCAGCAAAAUCAUAUUCUUCGACCUACUAAUGUCGAUUAGAAUAAAACAAAACAAGUGAAUUGAAUCACUCUUGCUAAUGACUUUAGUAAUGUGUAUGAGGGGAUAUGAGAGAAGCACUUCUUGAGACACCAAAAAAUAUCCCAGUAAAGAACAAUAUAAAUGAUAGCACUCACCAGAUUAAAAAAACAAAAAAAUGUGUCAAAAAAUAGAUAACUAGCAGAGUUUUAUAUCCUAAAAGACAAAAAAGAAUGUCAACUUAGCAAAAACCCUAAAUACACGUCUGUCUUGUCACCUACUCAUGAACAUAUGGUGUAAAAAAUGCACUAUACUCUCUGUACAGAGGGGGUGUAAAAAUGUAUCUAUAAGUACGCACAAACAUAAAAAAAGGUGUUGAUAAAAAACUACUUGCUGUACAAUUCAACGGAGAAACACACUUCAUCUUCAGUCUCUUGACCUACUAAAAAAAAUUUAGUACUACUAGUUGCAAAACAAUCUUUACUGGAAAGAACCUCAAAAUAAAUAGCAAUAAAAGGGAAAAAUCUGAAUGACACUUGACAGUGGCACAUAAAAGCGGAGCUUUAUUUAUCGAGAUAAGUGAAUCUACCUACAAGCAAAGAAACAAGUUUCAUCAUCAAAAAAUCCACCACACCAACAUUGCCGAUAGACACGCAUGAGCGAGAGACACUAUUGUGCAUGAACGCACAAAAAAUUAAACCUAAAAAAAUAAGGUCUAAACUAUGGGGGCGAUUCUCUGCUUGAAACUACUAAUCACAUAUUUGAUACAAACAAAAAAGAAGGCGUUGGGGGGGAGGGGGGGGGAGUAUGGACAUACAAAAUCCUAACUACUCUACUGGAUACAUGGGCACAGUGACAAACUGCUACGGUGCAGCAGACAUGCAAUUGGCAUCAGUCCCAGGACAAGACCUCACGUUGCUUACUCACACAGCGCUACAAUUAUAUCAGAAUAAUUUCAGAAUAAGAAGCAAAAGAACUAAACUAACUGAAAUUAAACACUAAAAAGUGCAGUUAACUUGGCGUUUUCCUCUUCUUAAUCAUCACGGGGUGGCCGCUUCCCCUUCCUCACUCUUUAAUGCAGCCCCAAAACAAACACAGAAAAUAAAAACGACCCGCACCAAAACACAGCCCAGCCCCAGCCCAUCAGCAGCGCUCGCGUACCGGGAUUACCAGUUCGACGGGGAAAAACAAAAGCGGGCCUGCCCACGCCUUAACAGGCCGAAACAAGGGACAAAAGUGACCCAGCACGAAUCUACAAGGUGCUACAGAUCGGACGGCUAGCCAGUCGACUGAGACUUCGCGACUGAUUUUUAGCAGCGCCGAUAUACUAUAUACAAUCCAAAGUUCCAAACGAGAAGCUAUGCGACACGUGAAUUGUUUGGUCCGUAGCUACAAGUCGACAUUAGUGAUGGGCCCCUCGAACCAGAACCUCGCGCUGACCACCCACGCGCCGACGCUGAGCAGCAACACGCCGCCGACGGCCACCGGCGUGUAGUUGAAGUUGUCCUUGGCCACCGGGUACGCCACCGGCAGCGAGAAGAGCACGGUGAGGAAGGCCACCCAGAGGACGGCGGCCCAGCCGACGGCGACCCCGUAUCUCCCGAGGUGGAACGGCCCCGGCACGAACGACCUCCUCGCCGUCGUCACCCGGAAGAAGAUGGGCAGCGCGUAGGCGAUGUACUGCCCCAGCGUCGCGAUCGACACCAUCGCCUGGAACGCCACCUGACUCCCCAGCGACUGCACGCACACACGUACCAAAAUCAGCUGUAAAAAUCAUGGUCGGGUGUCUGGAGAUUCAUGGCGGAGAUCGACGUUGCACGCACCGUGAGGGCCAUGACGAAGGCGACGACGACGGAGAGCCAGACGACGUUGAGGGGCACCUCGUUCUUGCUCACACGGAGCCACACCCGCGAGAGCGGCAUCGCCCUGUCCCUCGAGAAGGCGUACCCCAUCCUCGAGUUGCUGGCGAUGCACAUGGCGCCGGCGAAGAAGAUGCCGACGGCGACGACCCCGACGCAGACCAGCCCUCCCACGCCGCUGCCGUACCUCCUGUCGAAGGCGUCGUAUAGGGCCUGGGCGACGGCGUAGCCGCCGGCGUCGUUGUCCGGGCUGAGCAGGUACGGUAUGUCCGUCACGAUCGACGUCAGCGCCACCAGGAAGAUCCACCCGAACGUGGUCGAGAGGGCCACCGAGCUGAUGAUCCCCAUCGGCCCGCUCCAGUCCGCGUUCUUCGUCUCUUCAAUCUGCCAUGGUCGAUCUUUAGAUCUUCACGAAACUCCAUGGAAAUCUAGCUAGGAUGAGCAGCAGCGUACCAUGUGAGCGGACGCGUCGUAGCCGAGCAGAGAGUACUGGCUGGUGAGGAGGCCGAGGGCGAGAAUGUAGGCCUUGCCAUGGAUGCCCAUGCCGUUGUCGUCGUUGAAGUGCGUGAAGAUGAACUUGGCGCUGGCCCUCUCCUUGGCCACCGCCGGGAUGAGGAUCACCAGCGUGAACGCGCCCGCCGUGUUCCAGAACGCGCCGAGCUUGCCGCACCAGGACAGCCACCGGAUGGGGAGGCUGUUGAUGAGGCCGUGCAGGACGAGGAAGAAGCCGUGGAUGGCCAGCACGACGUACUUGGAGGCCGUGUACCCGCCGCCGUUGGCCCCGCCGGUGCCCAGCAAGACGAUCACCUGGACCAGCUGCGCCAGGGAGAAGUCCGUGCUCGUCGUAGCAGCCCACUAGGACAGUUAUAACACCGUCAGCAACGUGUCAAAACAGGAGGUGAUCACGAUGUACAAAUGCCAGCGGCGUACCUGUCCGACGAUGUUGAACCAGCCGGUGACCCAGGAGGCGAGGGGCGCCCACUCCCUGCCGGCGAGCUUGGCGCUCCAGUAGUAGAGCCCGCCGGAGGUCGGGUACGCGGAGCAGAUCUCCGCCAUGGACAGCGCGACGCAGCCGUUGAAGGCCGCCACCACCAGCCACCCGAGCGUCAUGGACGCCGGCCCGCCGUACCUCAGCCCGCUGUUGUAGGUGGUGGUGACGCCCGCCAUGACGGAGAUGAUGGAGAAGGAGAAGGCGAAGUUGGACAUGAGGCUGCGCACAGCCCAAGAAAAGCACCAGAAUCAAUCAAUCCAACGGAUAGAGCUGCGCGCAAACGCCGAUGAUACGAUGGCGAAGCAGAGCAGAGCAGGCGUGCGACGUACGAGAGGCCGCGCUUGAGCUCCUGCUUGUAGCCGAGCUUGUGCAGCCGCGCUCGGUCCGCGUCGUCGGUCGUGUCGCCGCCGCCGGCCACCCCCGCCGCACCGGAGCGUGACACGGCCAUCGAUCGUCUCUAGCUCUGUUUGCCAGCGAGUGAGCUCCUCGGUCUCCGGUGAGCAGGGAGUCAACAAGAGAGUGAGCGAGUGGCUUAGUGGAAACUGUCCGCGGCUUGGACCAUUCGGGCGAGGUCCCUUUCGGGUGACCCGCCAUUGUUGACGGCAAGGAGAUAAUUUAUGAUCACUUGUCACGUAGCGCAGCCACAUGGAAAAAUAUCGCCGGCCGCGCGCCAUUGUUUGUUUCUCAAAGAAAGAAGAUACGAGUUUGACUCUGAAUCUCUGAUGACCUGAUCGCCAUGACGGGGAGUGGUAGGAUAAUAUAACAUGAUCGUUUGAAAGGUUGAUCUUCCUCUGUCACGGUGAACGGUCCUCCGUCAUCUGGUUGGCCCCGGAUCUUGGACUUGGAUUGGGUAUUGCAUAUGUUUAUCUGAGAGAAAAAGGAUGUGGAGUGUUGAUUAGAUUUUGUGCCCCCGAAGAUUGGCACGGGUGAAGGUGACAGAGUACCCAGGUCAAAUAAUUUUGUCAUCGAGGUGUAUCUGUUGGAAGGAAUGAGUCGACGCAACGUGCCUUAAGCAUGGGUCUGUCUAGGACACAUCUAGAUGUGACAUAACUAUGUCACAUCUAAGCUGAUGUCCACUCUGUUUGUGGUCUAUUUUUUUUAUCCUAGUUUUUUUAUUUCUUGUUGCUAUAUUAUAUACUUGUAGGAACUUAGAUGUGACAUCCUUAAAAAACAUCUAGAUGUGAAUUAGACAAACUGCUUAAGCAUUGGCCAACGCCAGGCACUAGCGCCGGUGGACCGGUCUAAAUUUCGGCGGGUCGCCAUGCAACUGUUCGUGAGAGGCAUCCUCACACUGUUGGAUGCCUCUCCCCGCAUCAUCUCCAUCCUUCGGUUUGGUCAAUGUGGUCAGAAAUCCCCCUUGCAUGUUCUAUUGUUGACAUCUCUGCCCUGGCCCCCAUGCGUGUGCAAAAAUUGCCGUUUUUUGGUAAAUUUUAUCAUUGUCGAAUGUUGGUUUUCUAAACCAUUGACUAGAUACUUUUUGCAUGUCCAUAGAGUACACUAUGCCAAAUUGUCCCAACGACCAACCUACCUAAAGAGCUUCUUGGUAAUGCAGCUCCAUGUGUAAACUCAUCCACCACAUAUCAAAUAAACUAAAGUUUACAAGGCACAAAAUUCUACAUGUCAACAUUUACGAUGGGUCCUUUGAACCAGAACCGGGCAUGGAACACCCAUGAGCCGGCACUGAGCAGCAGCACACCACCGACGGCCACCGGCGUGUAGUUGAAGUUGUCCUUGGCGAUUGGGUACGCCACAGGCAAUGAGAAGAGCACGGUGAGCAAGGCCACCCAGAGGACUGCUGCCCAGCCGAUGACAAUACUGUACCUCCCUAGGUGGAAUGGCCCUGGGCUGAAUGACCUCCGGGCCGUCGUCACACGGAAGAAGAUGGGUAGCACGUAGGAGAUGUACUGCCCUAGUGUCGCAAUCGACACCAUUGCUUGGAAUGCCACCUGGCUUCCGAGAGACUACAUCCGAAGACAAGAAACACACACAAAAAUAGGAACGUCAAGUUUUAGGUGUGCUAGCAAGUCCUUGACACGAAUCAUGCGUUCAUGUUGUAAAGGUUUGGUGCUUCGAGUCGAGAUCGAGAUGGCAGAGGUAUUACGCAUCGUGAGAGCCAUUAUGAAGGCGACAACCACACAGAGCCACACAACAUUGAGAGGCACCUCGUUCCUGCUCACCCGGUGCCACACGUGCGAGAACGGCAUCGCCUUGUCCCUCGAGAAGGCAUAGCCCAUCCUAUAUGGAAAUGUGAUAGCAACUUAGCAAAUAGUCAUUAGGUUCCAAAUUAUUAUGGAUUUUUCAUAAUAAAUAAAACAUACAAAGUUUGACCAAGUUUAUCGAAAAAUAUCAACAACUACAAGACCAAAUUAGUUUCAUUAGAUUCAGCAUAAAAUAUGAUUUUGGUACUACAUAAAUUUGAUGUUGUACGAUAUAUACUAAUAUGACUUUUCUAUAGAAUUGAUAAAAUAUAGAGAAAAACUUGACUUUAAUAUCGAAUAAUUUGGAGCACAAGAAAUAUCAACACUAAUAUGUCAAUUGAUAUGUGGUGGUUGAAUCACUACCAAACCUUGAAUUACUGGUGACACAUGCAACACCCGCGAGGAAGAUGCCGAAUGCGACGAUGCCUAUGCAGACGAGCCCUCCGACCCCACUGCCAUACCUUUGGUGGAAGGCAGUGUAAAGCGCUUGCGCAGCGGCAUACCCGGCAGCAUCAUUGCGGGGGUCUAGUAGGUAUGGUAUGUUCGUCAUGAUGGAUGUUAGAGCCACAAGGAAGAUCCAACCAAACACGGUCGAGAGAGCAACAGACGUGAUGAUCCCGAUCGGUCCACUCCAAUCUGCGUUCUUCGUUUCCUCAAUCUGCAAAUUUAUUCCCGAUAAUGUGAGCUUUCUUGACCCAAAUUUCACAUUGAGGCGAUACAAUUGCACUCAAAUACAUAUAUAUGCGCAAGAGGAUAAGACAAAUAACCAUCAACAUGAGUAGCUACCAGUAUUGGGACAGGAGAAGAUGUGUACCAUGUGAGCCGAUGCAUCAUAACCAAGCAAUGAGUAUUGGCUCGUUAGAAGCCCCACAGCUAGAAUGUAGGCCUUGUCAUGGAUCCCCAUGUCAUUGUCCGUGUUGAAAUGUGUAAAGAUGAACUCAACACUCGCUCUUUCCUUGGCAACAACCGGAAUCAUGAUCACCAGGACAAAGGCACCUAACAUAUUAACAUAUGCUAAGUUCAAGAACAAUAAGUUGAUCAAUAAUCACAUAGUCAUAUGUUCAAAUGCAUCUUCUAAAGAAGAAAAAAAGACUCUCUCGACCUCUGCAUCGAUUGAUGCCAAAUGUCGUAACCCUCAGAAUGAUUAUAUACCUGCAGUGUUCCAAAAUGCACCGAGGUGGCCGAACCAGGACAACCACCGGAUGGGGAGGCUAUUGAUGAGCCCGUGCAGGAUGAGGAGGGAGCCGUGGAUGGCCAAAACAACGUACUUGGAGGCCAUGUAGCCACCGCCGUUGGCUCCACCGGUGCCAAGCAAGAUGAUCACUUGGACGAGCUGCGCCAAUGAGAAGUCCGUGCUCGUGGUGAGAGCCCACUAGAAGAGUUUAGAAAAGAGAUUGGAUUAUUAGGAAGUUUGUCAUGUGGGUGCACCAUAUCCGCUUUGAACCAAAUAGACCACCAACAUGUUUGAGCAUACCUGGCCCACAAGGUUGAACCUGCAAAAGGUAAAAUGGAACAUAAAAUAAAACAUAGACCACCAGCGUGAUUGCGGUAACACAAAAAGUGGAAAUAAAUAAUGAAUAUUGUUUGUUAAACCAUAUCACGUCGGCUCGAGCUUUUGAAUGGACAUGCAAUUCAAUAUCGCGUAUGCUAUAUGUAGGUUGUCUGCAUUUUGAAUUCGGAUCAGUUGAUUCGGGGGAGAAUGGAGGUGUAGAUUCGAGGCCGAGCCGGAGACAAACGCAGCAGCGGUGUUGCUAGUGGAGGGGAGUCAGAGGUUGGUGGGUCGGAAUGAGGGGGAUGGCGAUAAUUCUAAAUGCACGGAAAACUACGGACAUUUUACGGGCCUCUCCACACUAAUUACCUCCCCCCCUGAUUUUCACCGAGGUGGGGCCUGCCUCACUCUCUUAUCUCCAAUAAAAAACUGCCAGCUAGCAUCAUUCCGCAAAGAGUCAAUUACACCGGUGGUGAUAGAACUUGACGCAAAUGGUCACUUUAGUGCUGCAACUUGUGGCAUACAUCGAAGUGGUCCAAAAACUUGACUCGGACGUGCAAAUACGGUGCUAAUCGUGUUUGUAUACACCCACGACGCUGACGAGGCAUGCUAGCGUGGCAUGGGGCCUGUUUGUCAGUGACCCAACAAUGAAGACAAGGCGUGUGGCAUGCUUUUUUGUAUGAAACCCCCUCGUUUUUUUUUUCAUAGAAAAGCUGCUGACAACCGGUCCCAGCUAUUUGCAGCACAAAUUUUAAUUGAAUGGAAAAAAAGGUAUGCUCAGGUUUCAAACCCAAGCAACCUCAAGUUCCCUGCUCGGAAAGUUAGCCAGCCAACCCAUUCACCAUUCAUGUACAUUAAGGAAACACAGGCUAUAUUUUUGAGAAAAAAAAAAGAAACACAAUCUAUAUAUCCUCAGUUGAAUAACAAAAAAUAGGAAAACAUCGUAAAAAUGAUGCAGCCGCGGAGACUCGAACCCUGAGCAUACCGUUAGUUUUUUUAACAUUUCCAAAAUGUUAGUUUUUUCUGAAUUUUUAUUAAAAAAUGGAAUUAUAGUUUUAAAUAAUAUAGAUAAAAAGAGAAAAUAUUUAAAAUAAUAUGUAGGUUAUUAUAGUUAUAAUUUAAAUAUAUUUUUACAAACUGCAAAAAAAAAUAGUAACAUAUUAAAAAUGGGCCACACGAACUGACAAGCUGAUGUCAGUUUUGGCCCAUGAUAGCAGCGGACACGUUAAAUUGGAGGUCGCUAGUUCGCCUUGUCAGUUUUGGCACUAUUUUUCCGUUCAAUUAUUAUUUUUGCUGCUGACAGCUGGGACCCGCCUAUCAGGGUCUUUUUGUGAAAAAAAUAAAAGACAAUGGCUUUCUAGGAAAAAAAGAAAAAUACACACGCCUUGUCUUCAUUGUUUGGUCACUAACAACGGGCCCCACGCCAUGCUGGCAUGCCUCGUCAGUGAUGCGGGCAUAUACAAACAUGAUUAGCAUCGUAUUUGCACACCCGAGCCAAGUUUUUGCACCAGUUCAAUGUAUGCCACAAGUUCUAGCACUAAAGUGACCGUUUACACCAAGUCCUAACACCACCGGUGUAAUUGACUCUUCCGCAAACUCUGUAAACUCUGUCCAUCGUUGUAGCAUUGCUCGGGGGAAGGGCGGCGCCCAAGAAGAAGGUGUAGGGGUUAUAGGGAUGCACAUUCGAUAUUGUAUUGAGAUAUACUGAUUGAUUGAUAUUUUAUAUUUAAAAAAAAACCUCAGAGAUAUCAUCGACGAAGCUACCAAAUCAUGUACACUAGUUUCCAUGACUCCAUGCCAAUAAUCCCAAAAAUAGCCUUCUAAAACUGAUAAAAAAAUCUCAACUAAGGUAAGAGAGUGCACACAGUCACACGCCGUCUGCUCGAGCUUUUGGCAUGCAAUUCCAAAUUGUAUUGAGAUAUUGUCGACCAAAUUACCAAAUCAUAUACUAGUAUGGUACCAUGUCAAUAAUCUGAAAAUAGUCUUCAAAAAAUGAUCAGAAAAUCUCAUGAUGAUCAAACUAAGGUAAGAGAGUACACACACCAGCCGGUGAUCCAGGAAGCAAGAGGCGCCCACUUGUCGCCGGCGAGCUUGGCGCUCCAGUAGUAGAGCCCGCCGGAGGUCGGGUACGCCGAGCAGAUCUCGGCCAUGGACAGCGCGACGCAGCCGUUGAAGAAGGCCACGACCAGCCAGCCGAGGGUCAUGGACGCCGGUCCGCCGUACCUCAGCCCAGCGUUGUACGUGGUGGUGACGCCGGCCAUCACGCAGAUGAUGGAAAAGGAGAAGGCGAAGUUGGAGACCACGCCGAGCCCGCGCUUGAGCUCCUGCUUGUAGCCGAGCUGGCGCAGCCGGGCUCGGUCCGCGUCGUCGCCGGCGGCCACGCCCGCCGCGCCGGAGCGCUGCGCGGCCAUCGACUGUACGUCUGUACCCACCUCCUCUGUGUCCUUGUGUCGUCUGUUGUUUACCGUGGAGCUUUUCACAGAUGGUUAUUGGUGUAGGAUGCCGGAGUCGACAAGAACCCGUCGUUGGACCAUGCGGGCAUGCGACAUUGUCGACGAAGGGGAAGUAGUUUAUUAUGUUUGCGAUUGCCGCGUAGCGCAGCUGCGCAAGGGUAAACAAUCGGCGUUGGAUGCAGACAAUUUGACUGUAUUUCUGACAUGAUGAUUGAUAGGGAGUGGGUCGGACGGACAAGAUAGCAAAAGGCGGGUGCGCUCGACGGCGGUGGCGUUCGUCCCGGUGACGGUGGCGUUCAACGUUCGACGUCGGGGACAGCGCCGGCGAGUCCGCGGCCGUGAGGUUGACGGCGGCGAGGUCGGAAGGCGAUUAUUCCGCCUGUGUUCUGUUGGCUCUUGCGAAGUUCAGAAAAUCAGGCCGCGCACUCCGCUCUCUGUUCUUGAGAAAUUCCCCGGUUUAUUUGCCACGGCAUCGUCUCACAUUCAUUCUCGUGCUGGAUUCCCCAGAGAUUGCAGGCCAUGGAAAUCAAAGGCAAACGUUCUCCGGUUUAUUUGCCACGGCGUCGUCUCACAUUCAUUCUCGUGCUGGAUUCCCCGGAGAUUGCAGGCCAUGGAGAUCAAAGGCAAACGUUCCCCGGUUUGUUUGCCNNNNNNNNNNNNNNNNNNNNNNNNNNNNNNNNNNNNUUUGCCACGGCGUCGUCUCACAUUCAUUCUCGUGCUGGAUUCCCCGGAGAUUGCAGGCCAUGGAGAUCAAAGGCAAACGUUCCCCGGUUUAUUUGCCACGGCGUCGUCUCACAUUCAUUCUCGUGCUGGAUUCCCCGGAGAUUGCAGGCCAUGGAGAUCAAAGGCAAACGUGUGGAAACCUGUCUGGAGACUGAAUAUUGCAACGAAAAACAGAGUGAAGAGCACUCGGCUCAAGAUAACGCUUUUGCUGCAGAAUGACCAUCUCUGGAAACUGAAAAGAACUACUGCAGACUACAACUUUUUCAACAGCUUAUUUUCACUGCAGGCGUUUUUGCGCAACCAGCAGCUCAAAAGAAUUGAAAAGAAAGAUAAUCACUUUGUUCUCAAUGAAGAACAAACAAUCCAUAUAUUAAUUUUAGAAGAAAAAAAAAAGGUUGCUGUAAGGGGCCGCGCCCCCAAUUUCAUUUAUCAUCAUGAAACUGCUAAAACAUCCAACAUAUCACCCCCAAAGUUCUCAGAGUAUACAUCACAUAACUGCAGCGAAAGAAAACUCAGCAUUCCCUCCCACUGAGGAAACUACGACUAGCACGACGAUCAUCACACAUAUCUCGUAAAUUAAGAUGAUGAAUCUUGCAUUGCAACAACUCACACUGAAUAUCUAUCCAGCAUACAUAUGCUUUGUGUGUGCCUAUUUGUAAUAAUAAAAUAUACAAAUGUUUCUGGAAUGCCACCUACCUAUGUGCAAACAAUGUGUUCAGUCUUCUUCCACUGAACCCUCCCCUCUCCUGUAGAUCGCCACACAAGUAAAAUUUGCUUGUCGUCUGCACUUCCGUUGGUACCCAGUCCACCAUAGACAGGACUUGUUUGGUGGCAACAAGCAAGGCCGGUUUAUGCUGGCUGAAUGGAUGCGUUAUCAAAGGGCAGGCCAGUCAUCA
This 13509-nucleotide long non-coding RNA is filed under the name Triticum aestivum (bread wheat). Its description in RNAcentral is "long non-coding RNA (TAES_LNC026421)". Lineage: Eukaryota; Viridiplantae; Streptophyta; Magnoliopsida; Poales; Poaceae. The record is from RNAcentral.